Molecule: ribosomal RNA, 253 nt
Filed under: uncultured prokaryote
Description: partial 16S ribosomal RNA
Rfam family: Bacterial small subunit ribosomal RNA
Source: RNAcentral
CACGGGGGGAGCAAGCGUUGUUCGGAAUCACUGGGCGUAAAGGGCGUGCAGGCGGUCAGGUAAGUGGGAUGUGAAAUGCCCCGGCUCACCCGGGGACCUGCAUCCCAAACUGCUUGGCUUGAGUAUGGGAGAGGAUGAGGGAAUUCCUGGUGUAGCGGUGAAAUGCGUAGAUAUCUGGAGGAACACCGGUGGCGAAGGCGGCGUCCUGGACCAACACUGACACUGAGGAGCGAAAGCCAGGGGAGCAAACGGG